This 1015-nucleotide long non-coding RNA is filed under the name Vombatus ursinus (common wombat). RNAcentral's name for it is "lncRNA (ENSVURG00010018519.1)". Lineage: Eukaryota; Metazoa; Chordata; Mammalia; Diprotodontia; Vombatidae. The record is from RNAcentral.
GUGACCACCUCUGAGGGCAUCAGUUUCCUUGGCUACAAAAUGGUAAAAUGAGGAGUUUGGAAUAGUUUCUCUGAAAUCUCCUCUAACACUAAAUCCUAUGAUCCUAAACUGCUCCAACAUCUAUUGGGGGAGGGGGCAGAAGGGGAAGGCAAAGAACAAGCCCAAAGUCCAGUCAGAAGCGCUUCCACACCACUUACCUAUUUCUGUUUCCUCCAGCCAAAAUGGAAGUAAAGGAUCUGAUUAUAACCUGUGAAAAUAAGAUGCAGACAGAGCUUGACGCUAUCUACCCCCAGCUGGUGAAACGGUGUAGCCUUCUAUCCUCUCUGGAUCUCCCAGGCGAAAUGCCACUUGAUCUACUCAAGCAGGAAAAGGCCCAGAUUUCCCCAAGGAGCUCCAGCCGGCAUUUCCCAGCUCAGAAGGAUAUAGAUUGUGCCCAGAUAGUACAAAGCUCUGAGAAGAAGAAAUCAGACUCUCACUUGCAGUUGGGAGCAUCUUUCUGGAACCAGGCCCCACAAAGGCCCCCUGGGCCAGCCCAGGUUCACAGCAUGCAAUGCUUACAGCCCUUGGAGGCAGGACUCAGUACAGAAACUGAAGACAGCUCUGGCUGCUCCAGUGGUCAGCUCCUGCCUGACUUGGGGCCCAGACAGAUCCAGGGGUCAGGGGCCUACAUCACUCCCAGUCAGAUGAUCGGACAGCCCCCAAACCAAAGAUCAUCGGCCUCCUACCCUCCUAAGCGCUCAGCCAGGCCCAAUCCCAAGGCCAAGAGAAGACUUAACUAUAAUCCUUGAUCAGCCCCUCCCUGGCCCCUGAGAGGUCUGGUCCAAUGCUGGCUACCUUUGCCUUACUGACCUUGUGACCCUGACUUAGUCACUUCCCUUUCCUUAGCCUCAGUUUUCUUCUCUCUAAAAUGAGAGGCUUCUACUAAAUGAUCCUUGAGGUCUCCAAUUGUUCACAAUGUGUAAUCCUUUGUAUUCCUACCUUUUAAAAUUGGAAAAUAAAGGGAUGUCCCCUUGGA